ACCAAGGCGACAACGGGUAGCGGGCGUGAGAGCGUGGCCCGCCACAUCGGGACUGAGACACUGCCCGGACACCUACGGGUGGCUGCAGCAACGAAUAUUCCGCAAUGGACGAAAGUCUGACGGAGCGACGCCGCGUGCAGGAAGAAGUCCCUCGGGAUGUAAACUGCUGUCAGGGGUUAGGAAUACUUUGACCAGCCCCACAGGAAGUCUCGGCUAACUACGUGCCAGCAGCCGCGGUAAUACGUAGGAGGCGAGCGUUGUUCGGAAUUAUUGGGCUUAAAGGGCGUGUAGGCGGGGAGGCAAGUGUCGGGUGAAAACCCUCGGCUCAACCGAGGAACUGCCCGGCAAACUUCCUCUCUUGAGGCGGGUAGAGGUGAGCGGAACGACUGGUGGAGCGGUGAAAUGCGUAGAUAUCAGUUGGAACGCCGGUGGCGAAAGCGGCUCACUGGACCCGUCCUGACGCUGAGACGCGAAAGCGUGGGUAGCGAACAGGAUUAGAUACCCUGGUAGUCCACGCCGUAAACGAUGCGCACUAGGUAUGAGAGGUUCUGACGCCGAUCGUGCCGAAGGAAAACUACUAAGUGCGCCGCCUGGGGAGUACGGCCGCAAGGCUAAAACUCAAAGGAAUUGACGGGGGCUCACACAAGCGGUGGAGCAUGUGGAUUAAUUCGACGCGAAGAACCCUACCUGGGUUUGACAUGUACGGAUGCCCUUGAUGAAAGUCGAGUAGGUUGCCUUCGGGUGAAACGUGCACAGGUGCUGCAUGGCUGUCGUCAGCUCGUGCUGUGAAGUGUCGGGUUAAGUCCCUUAACGAGCGAAACCCCUAUCGUUAGUUGCCAGCGGGUUAUGCCGGGGACUCUAGCGAGACCGCCGACGUCAAGUCGGAGGAAGGUGGGGACGACGUCAAGUCAUCAUGGCCUUUAUGCCCAGGGUUUCUCACGUGCUACAAUGGUCGGUACAGAGCGACGCGAUACCGUGAGGUGGAGCAAAUCGCACAAAGCCGGCCCCAGUUCGGAUUGGAGUCUGCAACUCGACUCCAUGAAGCCGGAAUCGCUAGUAAUCGCGUAUCAGCAAUGACGCGGUGAAUAUGUUCCUGAGCCUUGUACACACCGCCCGUCAAGUCAUGGAAGCUGGGAGUACCCGAAGUCCGUUUAGCUGACCCGUAAGGGGGGCGGCGGCCGACGGUAAGCUC
Molecule: ribosomal RNA, 1192 nt
Filed under: metagenome
Description: bacterial SSU rRNA
Rfam family: Bacterial small subunit ribosomal RNA
Source: RNAcentral